ACAGCUGAAGUGUGGAAAAUUGAAAGAAUUCGAAAAGUGAAAUCAAUAUUCAGCCUAAGUUAACAAUGUUUUUGAACCUGAAAGAUGAAAGAACUUGGUAUUAUGUUAACUAAAUGUUCUAAUGCAUAUUUACCAGUCCAUUUGUCAUCAUUUACCACGUGAUGACGACCAUUGUUGAAGCUGGCCAGGAAUUCUAAGCUGUCAACAAUCCUGCAGCCGUAGUGUGUCUAUACUAAAAGUGGAAUCAAAAAUUUGAAUCUCAAAUGAAUCCAAGAACUUUGAGUCGUCAUUACACUUUCUUUCCGAUUUUGAUAAUGGGGAGCGGCAGUUUGAACACAUCAACUAAAUAACAUUUUCUACAUCUACAAUCAAUUGUGUUUGUCCUGAGGUUUUUGUUUGAUUUUUCUAGGUGAUAUUGCAGACAUACCAUUUUGCAAGUACUUACCUACCUGAGCAGCUGAGCUCUUCCUUUCUGUGGUUCCUUUCAAUUGAUUCAUUUGAGUUAAAUCCCUCGCCACUGUUCCAGAUCUUACCCACUAGUGGAAUAUGCAGAGAGAUGUUCAACUUAUAACAGGUUAGCCCUUCGCCAUUGUGCUACAAUUUGAAGAAGUUGACGGUUACAGAAGAGUUGGCUUUCGAUCAAUAUCAAUAAAUUAUGUAGAUGUAGAUAAAUUACAAGUGUAUAUCUGGGCUCCCUUCUUUUCUGUGGGCCCGUUUCCCUAACUAA
This is a long non-coding RNA of Daphnia pulex (common water flea), 727 nucleotides long. RefSeq lists it as uncharacterized. The transcript has 4 exons. The record is from RefSeq and is a predicted model, not a curated record. Lineage: Eukaryota; Metazoa; Arthropoda; Branchiopoda; Diplostraca; Daphniidae.